GGAAGGAUCAUUAUUGAAUACGAAUCGGUUCUGAUGCUGGCCCUUCACCGGGCAUGUGCUCGCUCCGAAUCUGUUUAUCUUCUCUUGUGCACCUCUUGUAGUCUUUGAAACAAAAGUGAACCUCUCGCAGCAAUGCGGUCUGGGGGACUUGAGCCUAACACGCUCUUCCCCUGCUUGCUUUCUUUUCUUGGCUAUGUUUUCAUAUACACUAUAAAGUUACAGAAUGUCUUUUAAGGAUUGUCGCUCGCGCGCAGUCAUUAAACCUAUACAACUUUCAGCAACGGAUCUCUUGGCUCUCCCAUCGAUGAAGAACGCAGCGAAAUGCGAUAAGUAAUGUGAAUUGCAGAAUUCAGUGAAUCAUCGAAUCUUUGAACGCACCUUGCGCCCUUUGGUAUUCCGAAGGGCAUGCCUGUUUGAGUGUCAUUAAAUUCUCAACCUUGCUCGCUUUUACCGGCUUGAGUGAGGCUUGGACGUGAGGGCUUUGCUGGCUUCCUUAAGUGGAUGGUCUGCUCCCUUUAAAUGCAUUAGUGGGAUCUCUUGUGGACCGUCACUUGGUGUGAUAAUUAUCUACGCCUCGUCGACUUUGAAGCAAACUUAUGGGAACCUGCUUAUAACCGUCUCGCAAGGGACAACUUUCUGACAUUUUGACCUCAAAUCAGGUAGGACUACCCGCUGAACUUAAGCAUAUCAAUAAGCGGAGGAAAAGAAACUAACAAGGAUUCCCCUAGUAACUGCGAGUGAAGCGGGAAAAGCUCAAAUUUAAAAUCUGGCGGUCCCUGUGGCCGUCCG
Molecule: ribosomal RNA, 789 nt
Filed under: Mycena arcangeliana
Lineage: Eukaryota; Fungi; Basidiomycota; Agaricomycetes; Agaricales; Mycenaceae
Description: eukaryotic LSU rRNA
Rfam family: 5.8S ribosomal RNA (bases 270-423)
Source: RNAcentral